GAUGAACGCUGGCGGCGUGCCUAAUACAUGCAAGUCGAGCGAACGGACGAGAAGCUUGCUUCUCUGAUGUUAGCGGCGGACGGGUGAGUAACACGUGGAUAACCUACCUAUAAGACUGGGAUAACUUCGGGAAACCGGAGCUAAUACCGGCUAAUAUUUUGAACCGCAUGGUUCAAAAGUGAAAGACGGUCUUGCUGUCACUUAUAGAUGGAUCCGCGCUGCAUUAGCUAGUUGGUAAGGUAACGGCUUACCAAGGCAACGAUGCAUAGCUGACCUGAGAGGAUGAUCGGCCACACUGGAACUGAGACACGGUCCAGACUCCUACGGGAGGCAGCAGUAGGGAAUAUUCGACAAUGGGCGAAAGCCUGACGGAGCAACGCCGCGUGAGUGAAGAAGGUCUUCGGAUCGUAAAACUCUGUUAUUAGGAAAGAAAAUAUGUGUAAGUAAAUGUGCACGUCUUGACGGUACCUAAACAGAAAGCAACGGCUAACUUCGUG
RNAcentral lists this ribosomal RNA (497 nucleotides) under uncultured bacterium. RNAcentral describes it as "partial 16S ribosomal RNA". It matches the Rfam family "Bacterial small subunit ribosomal RNA", at positions 28 to 507 of the family's 1533-position model. The record is from RNAcentral.